AGGCGCUUGUCGCUUGUUUACGCGAGGUCCCCGCGCUCUACUUCAAGGAGGACUUCCGCCUCGAGGACGGAGCCACGUUCCGCGCUGCCUGCCCCUUCGCCAACGUCGCCGAGAACCUCGCGCUGCAGGAGAAGCUCUCGCACUACCUCGAUGUUGUUGAGCUCCAUCUCGUGAAGGAGAUCUCGCUUCGCUCGUCCUCGUUCUUCGAGGCGCAGGGGCAGCUGCAGGACCUCGAUGCUAAGAUCCUCCACGGUUGCACGCAAAUUCGCCAUCUCAAGGAUACUAUUCGCCUACUCGACGCCGAUUUGGUCCAGGACGCGCGCCAGAUUCAGGAGCUCAAUGGCACCCGGACCAACCUCUUGGCGCUCCUACAGAAACU
Molecule: long non-coding RNA, 379 nt
Filed under: Phaseolus vulgaris (common bean)
Lineage: Eukaryota; Viridiplantae; Streptophyta; Magnoliopsida; Fabales; Fabaceae
Description: long non-coding RNA (PVUL_LNC001301)
Source: RNAcentral